AAAGUACUCCCUCCGUCCGGAAAUAGUUGUCAUCAAAAUGGAUAAAAGAAGAUGUAUCUAGACGUAUUUUAGUUCUAAAUACAUUCCUUUUCAUCCAUUUUGAUGACAACUAUUUUCGGACGGAGGGAGUAUGUU
Non-coding RNA from Triticum urartu, 135 nucleotides. Lineage: Eukaryota; Viridiplantae; Streptophyta; Magnoliopsida; Poales; Poaceae. The record is from Rfam.